RNAcentral lists this non-coding RNA (216 nucleotides) under Planococcus glaciei. RNAcentral's name for it is "Planomicrobium glaciei T-box sequence". It matches the Rfam family "T-box leader". Rfam says of the family: Uncharged tRNA acts as the effector for transcription antitermination of genes in the T-box leader family. Lineage: Bacteria; Bacillati; Bacillota; Bacilli; Caryophanales; Caryophanaceae. The record is from RNAcentral.
UUAAAAGCGUUGACGGAGACAGUACUCCAAACAAUUCGACAAAGCGAGCCGGGGACAGUGAGAGCCUGGUGAUGAAUGUUUUGAGGAAAAUCACUCUUGAGCAGAAUUGGGGAAUCGAUUAGUACCCAGUUCCGUAUCCACCACGUUACGGUGUUCGAGUGGCAGCUAAGCGCUGCAACAAGGGUGGUACCGCGAGUUUAGCUUCUCGUCCCUUUC